GAUGAACGCUGGCGGCGUGCCUAAUACAUGCAAGUCGAGCGAAUGGAUUAAGAGCUUGCUCUUAAGAAGUCAGCGGCGGACGGGUGAGUAACACGUGGGUAACCUGCCCAUAAGACUAGGAUAACUCCGGGAAACCGGGGCUAAUACCGGAUAACAUUUUGAACCGCAUGGUUCGAAAUUGAAAGGCGGCUUCGGCUGUCACUUAUGGAUGGACCCGCGUCGCAUUAGCUAGUUGGUGAGGUAACGGCUCACCAAGGCAACGAUGCGUAGCCGACCUGAGAGGGUGAUCGGCCACACUGGGACUGAGACACGGCCCAGACUCCUACGGGAGGCAGCAGUAGGGAAUCUUCCGCAAUGGACGAAAGUCUGACGGAGCAACGCCGCGUGAGUGAUGAAGGCUUUCGGGUCGUAAAACUCUGUUGUUAGGGAAGAACAAGUGCUAGUUGAAUAAGCUGGCACCUUGACGGUACCUAACCAGAAAGCCACGGCUAACUACGUGCCAGCAGCCGCCGUAA
Molecule: ribosomal RNA, 515 nt
Filed under: uncultured bacterium
Lineage: Bacteria
Description: partial 16S ribosomal RNA
Rfam family: Bacterial small subunit ribosomal RNA
Source: RNAcentral